GGAGUCUCCUCUCUCUUCUUGGGUUGGUCAAAUCGAAGCAAGGAAGAUGGACGAGGAAGAAAGCAAAGGCGAGAAGGGAUUGCAAGUGAACGAUUACGUCGUUGGCUCCUUGCGUACCGUCAUCUACAUCCCCAACUUCAUUUCCGAAUCCGAGCAAUCGCAGCUCCUCCGCCACAUCUACGAGGUGCCCGCAUCCCGAUGGAAAUCUUUGAAGAACAGGAGAUUGCAGAACUGGGGCGGGGUGGUGCAUGAGAAAGGUCUGCUACCGCAAGCUUUGCCAUCUUGGCUCACCAAGAUAACCCAGAGAAUAGGUCAACAGACAGGGUUGUUUCCAUCGCCCAUCAACCAUGUGCUCAUUAACGAAUAUCUUCCAGAUCAAGGGAUCAUGCCACACCAAGAUGGUCCUGCAUACUUUCCUGUUGUUGCAAUUUUAUCUCUUGAAUCACCUAUAACAAUUGAUUUCACUCCCCACCCGAGAUCAAAAGAAUUUGAAAUUCCAGUGGAAAACAAGGAUUCAACUCUCUAUGAAGCAGUUAGUGGUCAGAUCGAUAGUCCGUCCACUGAAUCAAUAGGCAGCCCAAAAGAUGAACACCAUCAAUUUUCUGUUCUCUUGAUGCCCUGCAGUUUAUUGAUAUUCAAAGAUCAAGCCUAUACAGAUUAUCUUCACGGGAUAGAAGAUUCUGAGUCACUUAGUUUAGAUAAGACAUGCCAAAAAACUCUACAGCAAAUCUUCUCAUUCAGGGGAAGAAAAGAAGCAUCAAAAGUUAUGGCAAACAAUACCAGGAAGAGGAACUGCAACCAAAGAGAGAAUCCAUGAGAAGCACAAGAGUGUGCAGAGACAAAUCGCAGGUUUCCUCUGAUCCAUGUUGGCAAGAGGCUUCCUCCUGUUUCAGAUUCUGCAGAUAUUCCAUCAGUUUUUUCACAUGGAUGCAUAUGGUGAGAACAUCUCAAAAGUGGCAUUGUUGGAGAAACCAUGUGCAUACUCCAUAAACCAUGUUUUGGCAGGGCACACAGCAUGCAGACUGACAGACAGAGAUCAUAAGCAUAAUUUGUAUGAAUCUGAUAAAUUUCUUCUUUAUCUGAAUGAUUUUUGUAGUGUGCUGAGCCCAUCUCCUACAUGAAUUCCUUAGAAAGGCAGAUGAUCUUUGUAGCUUCAUGUGUUAUACAACUUUGUAUCAUGCUUUCUUAGCUUUUUAGAUGGUAAGAAAACCCAAACAGGUAUUUGGA
Musa acuminata AAA Group (dessert banana) is the source of this 1227-nucleotide RNA transcript. It is a transcript of the gene named alkylated DNA repair protein ALKBH6 homolog, with no coding region annotated. Lineage: Eukaryota; Viridiplantae; Streptophyta; Magnoliopsida; Zingiberales; Musaceae. The record is from RefSeq and is a predicted model, not a curated record. The transcript is spliced from 8 exons.